This 496-nucleotide ribosomal RNA is filed under the name uncultured bacterium. Its description in RNAcentral is "partial 16S ribosomal RNA". It matches the Rfam family "Bacterial small subunit ribosomal RNA", at positions 29 to 507 of the family's 1533-position model. The record is from RNAcentral.
AUGAACGCUGGCGGCGUGCCUAAUACAUGCAAGUCGAGCGAACAGACGAGGAGCUUGCUCCUAUGACGUUAGCGGCGGACGGGUGAGUAACACGUGGAUAACCUACCUAUAAGACUGGGAUAACUUCGGGAAACCGGAGCUAAUACCGGAUAAUAUAUUGAACCGCAUGGUUCAAUAGUGAAAGACGGUUUUGCUGUCACUUAUAGAUGGAUCCGCGCCGCAUUAGCUAGUUGGUAAGGUAACGGCUUACCAAGGCGACGAUGCGUAGCCGACCUGAGAGGGUGAUCGGCCACACUGGAACUGAGACACGGUCCCGACUCCUACGGGAGGCAGCAGUAGGGAAUCUUCCGCAAUGGGCGAAAGCCUGACGGAGCAACGCCGCGUGAGUGAUGAAGGUCUUCGGAUCGUAAAACUCUGUUAUUAGGGAAGAACAAAUGUGUAAGUAACUAUGCACGUCUUGACGGUACCUAAUCAGAAAGCCACGGCUAACUACGUG